RNAcentral lists this unclassified non-coding RNA (341 nucleotides) under soil metagenome. RNAcentral's name for it is "partial contains 5.8S ribosomal RNA, internal transcribed spacer 2, and large subunit ribosomal RNA". The stretch from base 1 to 120 matches the Rfam family "5.8S ribosomal RNA", at positions 35 to 154 of the family's 154-position model. The record is from RNAcentral.
GAUGAAGAACGUAGCGAAAUGCGAUAAGUAGUGUGAAUUGCAGAAUUCAGUGAAUCAUCGAAUCUUUGAACGCUCAUUGCGCCCCUUGGUAUUCCAUGGGGCAUGCCUGUUCGAGCGUCAUUUGUACCCUCAAGCUAUGCUUGGUGUUGGGUGUUUGUCCUCUCCUUUUGCGAUUGGACUCGCCUUAAAGACAUUGGCAGCCAGUGUAUUGGUCUUGAAGCGCAGCACAUUUUGCGAUUCUUGCUGAUAAUCACUAGCGUCCAGUAAGCCUAUUUUAACACUUUUGACCUCGGAUCAGGUAGGGAUACCCGCUGAACUUAAGCAUAUCAAUAAGCGGAGGA